RNAcentral lists this ribosomal RNA (458 nucleotides) under uncultured bacterium. Its description in RNAcentral is "partial 16S ribosomal RNA". It matches the Rfam family "Bacterial small subunit ribosomal RNA", at positions 338 to 795 of the family's 1533-position model. The record is from RNAcentral.
CCUACGGGAGGCAGCAGUGAGGAAUAUUGGUCAAUGGGCGAGAGCCUGAACCAGCCAAGUCGCGUGAGGGAGUACUGCCCUAUGGGUUGUAAACCUCUUUUGUCGGGGAGCAACAGCCGGACGUGUCCGGCUGUGAGAGUACCCGACGAAAAAGCAUCGGCUAACUCCGUGCCAGCAGCCGCGGUAAUACGGAGGAUGCGAGCGUUAUCCGGAUUUAUUGGGUUUAAAGGGUGCGCAGGCGGAUUUUUAAGUAAGCGGUAAAAUCGUGGGGCUCAACCCCAUCCAGCCGUUGAAACUGGGGAUCUAGAGUGUGCGAGAGGUAUGCGGAAUGCGUGGUGUAGCGGUGAAAUGCAUAGAUAUCACGCAGAACCCCGAUUGCGAAGGCAGCAUACCGGUGCACAACUGACGCUCAGGCACGAAAGCGUGGGUAUCGAACAGGAUUAGAUAUCCCGGUAGUC